Colossoma macropomum (tambaqui) is the source of this 1418-nucleotide long non-coding RNA. RefSeq lists it as uncharacterized. The transcript has 3 exons. NCBI's taxonomy places the organism in Eukaryota, Metazoa, Chordata, Actinopteri, Characiformes, Serrasalmidae. The record is from RefSeq and is a predicted model, not a curated record.
UGAAAUGAUCUAAAAUCUAGUCGAUAUAUCUAAUAUUUCCCAUUUUGAGACGGCUGUGCACUUAGAGACUAUCUAGCUUUUUUCUGGACACUAUUUACUUAUUUCAGGUCAUUUUGUUAAAUAAAGUUAUCUCACUAUACGGGCAGAUAAUUUUGCUGGUUUAAAUAAUCUUAAAUUAAGCUUACAACAAUCUCAACAGGAGAAAUAUUAGAUAUCUUGACUAUAUUUAAGAUCAUUUUACUUGACAAGACACCAUUUUUUGCAGGGUAUAAAAAUGUACAGCACUUCUCCAGAUUAAAUCUACAAAGUGCUUCACAACGUAAUAAAGUACACAGAUGCUGGGUGUUAGGUGCUGUAUCAGGGGUACUGAGGUCAGUUUGAGGGUACUGUGAGUGUAUUAUGAGUAUUUUAACAGGCGCAGUCCUGGUGUGACGCUGUAUCAGGGGUACUGAGGUCAGUUUGAGGGUACUGUGAGUGUAUUAUGAGUAUUUUAACAGGCGCAGUCCUGGUGUGACGCUGUAUCAGGGGUACUGAGGUCAGUUUGAGGGUACUGUGAGUGUAUUAUGAGUAUUUUAACAGGCGCAGUCCUGGUGUGACGCUGUAUUUGGUGGUACUGAGGUCAGUUUGAGGGUACUGCGAGUGUAUUAUGAGUAUUUUAACAGGCGCAGUCCUGGUGUGACGCUGUAUUUGGUGGUACUGAGGUCAGUUUGAGGGUACUGUGAGUGUAUUAUGAGUAUUUUAACAGGCGCAGUCCUGGUGUGACACUGUAUUUGGGGUACUGAGGUCAGUUUGAGGGUACUGUGAGUGUAUUAUGAGUAUUUUAACAGGCGCAGUCCUGGUGUGACACUGUAUUUGGUGGUACUGAGGUCAGUUUGAGGGUACUGUGAGUGUAUUAUGAGUAUUUUAACAGGCGCAGUCCUGGUGUGACACUGUAUUUGGGGUACUGAGGUCAGUUUGAGGGUACUGUGAGUGUAUUAUGAGUAUUUUAACAGGCGCAGUCCUGGUGUGACGCUGUAUUAGGAGUAUUGAGGUCAGUUUGAGAGUACUGUGAGUGUAUUAUGAGUAUUUUAACAGGCGCAGUCCUGGUGUGACGCUGUAUUUGGUGGUAUUGAGGUCAGUUUGAGGGUACUGUGAGUGUAUUAUGAGUAUUUUAACAGGCGCAGUCCUGGUGUGACGCUGUAUUUGGUGGUAUUGAGGUCAGUUUGAGGAUACUGUGACUGUAUUAUGAGUAUUUUAACAGGUGCAGUCCUGGUGUGAACGCUGUAUUUGGAGUACUGAGGUCAGUUUGAGGGUACUGAGUGUAUUAUGAGUAUUUUAACAGGCGCAGUCCUGGUGUGACGCUGUAUUUGGUGAUAUUGAGGUCAGUUUGAGGGUACUGUGAGUGUAUUUUAAGUAUUUUAACAAGCUCAGUCCUGGUG